GUAACGAAUCCAUUAAGAAAUAG
Molecule: small nuclear RNA, 23 nt
Filed under: Arabidopsis thaliana (thale cress)
Lineage: Eukaryota; Viridiplantae; Streptophyta; Magnoliopsida; Brassicales; Brassicaceae
Description: snRNA_00092
Source: RNAcentral